RNAcentral lists this long non-coding RNA (1275 nucleotides) under Lonchura striata (white-rumped munia). RNAcentral describes it as "domestica (Bengalese finch) lncRNA (ENSLSDG00000003208.1)". The record is from RNAcentral. Lineage: Eukaryota; Metazoa; Chordata; Aves; Passeriformes; Estrildidae.
UGUCUGUCUCUGAUGCCAGAUUUGCACUGAAGCCUAGGAAGGCACUGCAAGGAAGAAAGGCCUUGCCUUCUCCUCCAUGACACUUCCAGUGUUCUUCCCUCGGGCAGUCUGAGCCUUCCAGAGCAACCUGGGGAGCCCCAGCUCCCCACAGAGCCCCUCCACGACUCAGCCCUGCAGAGAGAUGCAGGGUCCCACAGCAGCCCACAAAGCCCCACAGGGUCCCCUGCGUGUCCCCAGCUCUCUGAAAUGGCCACAGCUCCCGGCAGCAGGGACAGGAGGGAUCUGGAAGCCUCAACUGCAGGGGUAUGUGCACUGCUGGUCUGUGCUGGUCUGUGCUGUGCUGAGCUGAGCUGUGCUGUGCUGUGCUAUCUGUGCUGUGCUGGUCUGUGCUGGUCUCUGCUGUGCUGAGCUGAGCUGAGCUGAGCUGAGCUGAGCUGUGCUGAGCUGAGCUGAGCUGUGCUGUGCUGACCUGUGCUAUCUGUGCUGGUCUCUGCUGUGCUGAGCUGAGCUGAGCUGAGCUGAGCUGUGCUGGUCUGUGCUGUGCUGUGCUGUGCUGAGCUGUGCUGCGCUGGUCUGUGCUGUGCUAUCUGUGCUGUGCUGUGCUGUGCUGUGCUGUGCUGUGCUGUGCUGUGCUGUGCUGAGCUGAGCUGAGCUGUGCUGUGCUGUGCUGUGCUGAGCUGAGCUGUGCUGUGCUAUCUGUGCUGUGCCGGUCUGUGCUGUGCUAUCUGUGCCGGUCUGGGCUGUCUGUGUGCGAGCGGCUGGCGGGAGCGGAGCCGGCUCCAUCCUGCUCGCCGGGCAGCGCCGUGUGCCGGCAGGGGCCGGAGGAAGGCACGGGCAGCCGGAGCUCUCCGGAGCUCUCCGGCCGCAGCAGGGACCCCAUCAGCCGGACUUGGCACGGCUCCGCAUCCUGUCCUGUCCUGCCCUGAGCACCGCGCCAGGGCCGGGGCCGUGCGGGGAGGCACAUGGGCAGCCCUGGCACCCCUGUGCCACACCACGACCCUCGCUCACCUUCCCGCUCUUCAUCCCUCCCCUCUGCAAAGCUGUCUGCAAAUGCCAACUGCCUGUUUUCCAGUUCCUCCAGAUUUACCCCCUCCUCCUCCUCCCGUCCCCCCCCCCCCCCCCCUCCUUCCUUUCUUCUUCCUGGGUUAAAAAUAAUCAAGUUUCUGGGAAGCAGCAGCCCUGCUGCGCCUGCCUCCCUGCACUCGCGCCCCGGAGAAUAGCUCGGCUCGGCUCGCUCCGGCCCCUCCUCGCUGCUCUCUCCUUCCUCCUCCCCAC